CCAAGCCCCUCCCUCAUCCAGUACGACCUCAGUUCUUAUAAAGAGAGGAGACUUAGACAGAUGCUCACAGAAGGAAAACCAUGUGAAGACACAGGACAUGGUCAUCCCCAGGCCAAGGAGCAAGACCUCAGAAGAAGUCAGUCCCACCUACUCCUGGAUCUCAGAUGCCCAAUCUCCACAACUGUAGAAAGCAAAUUUCAAGCUACCAGUCUGUGAUACAGUACUCUUACUGCAGCCCUAGGAGAUGAGUACUGAACCGCUGUCCCUGCCACCGGAAUUUCACCAUCACAGAGGCAUUCACAGAAGCAGAAUGAGGUGUGACAGCGGGAAUGGGCCCAGGAUACAUGUGUGGAAGAGGGGUGUAAGGCAGCGAAGCAUCACUUCAGCAGAGGCGGGGUGGCAACUGUGGUCCAUGCAGCGGGGUUCCCAGUGAGGGAGGAUCCCCUGGGAGGGGGCCCCAGCUCUCACUAGGGCCCCGACCACUGGGUCUCCAGUGACUGAAUUCUGAAUUCAAAUUCUGAAUUCCUUCAGAGAGUAUUGUAGAACUCAUGGUGGGACAAGAGAUCCAAAAGCUCAAUGCUCACCUCCACCCCCAAGGAGGCAAGAGCAGUAGGCUGCAGCCUCAGGAGGAAACCAGAAGGAACAGCACAAACCCCAUAGGCCUUCAGACUGGUAGCAGGCAUUUAAAUUAGAAAAGAAUUUCAGAGCAACAGGAGACCAGCAUAUUUAUUGAUUAAGAACCAACUUUCAUGGGGCUGGUCCUCAUGUCUCUGUGAGGGUCUGUCAGGACCCCCAGCUUCCAUAGAGAUGAAAAACACCAGAGUGGAAGAAGCCACCUGGUCUGGAAGAUUCAGAUGAAGAUUCAGACCCUUUUCACUGAGGCUGUGGCCAUGGACUCGGGGAGGCUGGGGAAGUGCCUGGCCACCUGUAGUAAGGCCACUGGGGGCGGCACAGAGUGGGACACGACCUCAGCCACAGCCCGAAGUCACAGCACUACCAGGAGCAGAAACCCAGGCACCAACCGAGGAGCAUGGAGACAUAAACGGGGCAUCAGCCUUUGAGAGGCCUCCACAGGGAGCCUGGGCCCUAUUUCAGGGUCUUAUGGGAGGAGACUCAGCGGGGAUCAGGAAGAAGGGGGCUGGGCUCAGGGCCAGGACUUGGUGGGGCUCAGGGGCUUUAAGCAACUCCAAAAGAUUGUCACUAGCUAUUGAAUAAAAUUGGUCACCCUCAGUUCCAAAGCACAAGGACUAAUGCGCCAUGACAUCUUUAAUUUAUUCGGUACCUUUCUGCCAAGUGGAUCAAAGCAUUUCAAAAUAAUUUCCUCUAAACUUUUCUGGGAAGAACCCAGGGAGGAAAAAACCAUUUCAUCUAUGAACUACCCUUGAUAUCAAUCAUAAUCCCUGAAAUUGUAUAACUCUUUCUGGUUUCCAGAAGGCUCCGACAUGGGAAGCAGGUGGUGGGAGUGGCCCCUUUUGCAGAUGGGGGAAGCAGAGCCAGGGGCUUUCAUGCCUUCCCAGGCGAAACUUUGCCCAUCCCAGCCCUCCAUGGCCAGUGUUGUACCGCACAGACCGCAGACAGUCCAGGUCCCUGAAGUCAGGGCCAGGCUGGCCUCGGAAUCGAAUAGCUCAUGACAGUGUCACAAAGGCCCCACCCUCUGAGCCCCAAGGUCCUGAUCCAAUGGUUCUCCCAGCCCCAGGGCUCCAGCAAGCCUCAGACUGGGAGGUGCUCUGUGCACAUCCCGGUUUGCUGCUUUCUCCCUCCUGAGGUGCCUCGAGUUCCUGCUUUGCUCCCAGCACCUCCCCUCCUUCUCCCAAAGGACUCAGCUUCUUCAGUGCCCUCCACAUCCCCUGCCUUCUGUCUUCAGCUUCUUGCUCUUGCAAAGGCUUUUGUCCUUCUCGAGGAAGCUGGCUCUGCCCUCCCACCUGCCUUCUCUGACCAGCUCUCGCUGGAUUUAUCUGUGCAACGCU
Molecule: non-coding RNA, 1967 nt
Organism: Heterocephalus glaber (naked mole-rat)
Lineage: Eukaryota; Metazoa; Chordata; Mammalia; Rodentia; Bathyergidae
Source: RefSeq, a predicted model, not a curated record